UUGUAGCAGCAUGAUCAUUGUAUCUUGAACAAAUAAUACUAUUUUUAAAUCUGUUGAUUAAUACCAGAUUGGUUGUAUAGAAAGCUUUAGCUUUCCUCCCUGGAUUCAUGUCUCAGAUCUCACUCUUUGGAAAAAUUUAUCAUGGGAUGGGCCAGGCCUGGAUCAAAUUUAUCAUGGAAAAAUUUUUCCAUCCUCCACAAUCUGGCUGACUCCUCCUUGGGUGGGCAGCCUGUUGGAUGGCUUGUUUCAUCCUAUCGCUUACAAGGGAACAUCAUACCUGAUGUGUCUGGGAUUUUGCCGAUGUUUUGUCAUCUGAAAGAGCAUGGGAAGUGGAUGAGGAGUCGCCCCUAUAUUGGGGGCCGCUGCUCUGGUGUUUUUGAGAGGAUCGCUUUUGAAAUUUCGGAGGUUUUUGAUUUUGCUUAGGUAGCGAACGCUCGG
This 438-nucleotide long non-coding RNA is filed under the name Androctonus crassicauda. Lineage: Eukaryota; Metazoa; Arthropoda; Arachnida; Scorpiones; Buthidae. The record is from RNAcentral.